RNAcentral lists this long non-coding RNA (839 nucleotides) under Equus caballus (horse). RNAcentral's name for it is "lncRNA (ENSECAG00000046266.1)". The record is from RNAcentral. Lineage: Eukaryota; Metazoa; Chordata; Mammalia; Perissodactyla; Equidae.
GCAUAUACUUGCUCAAAUACGUAAACUAAAAGCAGGCUCUUUUGAGUUGUUUGGAGGAUUCAUGGCUACAUAUAACCUGGUAGUGCAUGUACUGUGGGGCUCAUCCAAAUGGGAGAGGCCCUUCGGGGGCCUGCAUCAGAGUGAGGAGGCACGUCCCUGGGUAGCUCACCCUGGCCACCGGGAUGUGAAGACCCCUGGGGAUCUGCAGAACAGUGUCAAUGACACCGAUGGGAGGGGUCGUCCUUCUGGUUACUGAUGUGAACGGCAGUGGCUCCAGUAUUUCACCAUUAAGCAUCCUGCUGGACUUGAUUUUACAUAGAAAGUUCUUUUGGCCUAGAAUGCCCGUCCCUUCUUCACCUCGCCAUCUUCUUCACCUGACAAAUAGAAACGGCAAGCAAUAGGAUAUGUUAGAGUAUAUGAGGAAGCCAUUUGGUGUAAACCUAAUUCGGCCUGACUUUGUUUUUUCCAAAAGGGCCUGACGUGGUCGUUGAGCACGCGUUGUACCUCCGCUUUAAAACAUUUCCUGUGGCAAGAACAAAUGGCCUUAAGAUAAAGCUCACCUGUGACCACCCAGCUUGAGACAACAGACCUGCCACCCUGCUGUAUUCACUGAGACAGCAGACCUACCUGCUGUUUCCAUCAAUCACUGUGCUGACAGAGCAGUCUCGCAACUAUUGUAAAAGGGACAUUUCAAUCCUAUGUGAAACAUCCUCUCUGGGGGUAUAUAACCACCCUGUGCACCCCACUUCUUUGGUGCCCUUUCUUCCUUCGGGAAGAAAGGCCCUGGGCCAUGGUCCUCAGAUUUCAGCUCAGAAUAAACUCUCCCAAAUUUUCAUUUA